UGAGGAAUAUUGGUCAAUGGGCGAGAGCCUGAACCAGCCAAGUCGCGUGAGGGAAGACGGUCCUAUGGAUUGUAAACCUCUUUUGUCGGGGAGCAAAAAGGCCUCGUGAGGCCACAAGUGAGAGUACCCGAAGAAAAAGCAUCGGCUAACUCCGUGCCAGCAGCCGCGGUAAUACGGAGGAUGCGAGCGUUAUCCGGAUUUAUUGGGUUUAAAGGGUGCGUAGGCGGACUGGAAAGUCAGCGGUAAAAUCGAGAGGCUCAACCUCUUUCCGCCGUUGAAACUGUCGGUCUUGAGUGGGCGAGAAGUAUGCGGAAUGCGUGGUGUAGCGGUGAAAUGCAUAGAUAUCACGCAGAACUCCGAUUGCGAAGGCAGCAUACCGGCGCCCGACUGACGCUGAGGC
RNAcentral lists this ribosomal RNA (400 nucleotides) under uncultured bacterium. RNAcentral's name for it is "bacterial SSU rRNA". It matches the Rfam family "Bacterial small subunit ribosomal RNA", at positions 355 to 752 of the family's 1533-position model. The record is from RNAcentral.